CCCUACGGGACGCAGCAGUGGGGAAUCUUGCGCAAUGGGGGGAACCCUGAUGCAGCGACGCCGCGUGGGUGAAGAAGCGCCUCGGCGCGUAAAGCCCUGUCAGCAGGGAAGAAAAUGACGGUACCUGAAGAAGAAGCCCCGGCUAACUACGUGCCAGCAGCCGCGGUAAUACGUAGGGGGCAAGCGUUAUCCGGAUUUACUGGGUGUAAAGGGGGCGCAGACGGCGAUGCAAGCCAGGAGUGAAAGCCCGGGGCCCAACCCCGGGACUGCUCUUGGAACUGCGUGGCUGGAGUGCAGGAGGGGCG
RNAcentral lists this ribosomal RNA (305 nucleotides) under uncultured bacterium. RNAcentral's name for it is "bacterial SSU rRNA". It matches the Rfam family "Bacterial small subunit ribosomal RNA", at positions 337 to 659 of the family's 1533-position model. The record is from RNAcentral.